AAACUGAGGAUAAUACCGGAUAGGCAAUUAUUCCUGUAAUGGUUUUUUGUUUAAAUGUUUUUUCGCCUAAGGAUGAGUCUGCGGCCGAUUAGGUAGUUGGUUAGGUAAUGGCUUACCAAGCCGUUGAUCGGUACGGGUUGUGAGAGCAAGAGCCCGGAGAUGGAACCUGAGACAAGGUUCCAGGCCCUACGGGGUGCAGCAGGCGCGAAACCUCCGCAAUGUGAGAAAUCGCGACGGGGGGAUCCCAAGUGCCAUUCUUAACGGGAUGGCUUUUCAUUAGUGUAAAGAGCUUUUGGAAUAAGAGCUGGGCAAGACCGGUGCCAGCCGCCGCGGUAACACCGGCAGCUCUAGUGGUAACAAUUUUUAUUGGGCCUAAAGCGUCCGUAGCCGGUUUAAUAAGUCUCUGGUGAAAUCCUGUAGCUUAACUGUGGGAAUUGCUGGAGAUACUAUUANACUUGA
This 459-nucleotide ribosomal RNA is filed under the name uncultured rumen archaeon. RNAcentral's name for it is "bacterial SSU rRNA". It matches the Rfam family "Archaeal small subunit ribosomal RNA", at positions 137 to 596 of the family's 1478-position model. The record is from RNAcentral.